RNAcentral lists this ribosomal RNA (538 nucleotides) under Pentodon quadridens mongolicum. RNAcentral describes it as "eukaryotic LSU rRNA". It matches the Rfam family "Eukaryotic large subunit ribosomal RNA", at positions 710 to 1209 of the family's 3401-position model. Lineage: Eukaryota; Metazoa; Arthropoda; Insecta; Coleoptera; Scarabaeidae. The record is from RNAcentral.
AAAGGCGUAAUGAAAGUGAAGGUUCGCCUUGCGCGAACCUAGGGAGGAUGGUCGAUCGUUCGAGGUCGACCCGCACUCCCUGGGCGUCUCGUUCUCAUUGCGAGAAGAGGCGCACCAAGAGCGUACACGCUGGGACCCGAAAGAUGGUGAACUAUGCCUGGUCAGGACGAAGUCAGGGGAAACCCUGAUGGAGGUCCGUAGCGAUUCUGACGUGCAAAUCGAUCGUCGGAACUGGGUAUAGGGGCGAAAGACUAAUCGAACCAUCUAGUAGCUGGUUCCCUCCGAAGUUUCCCUCAGGAUAGCUGGCGCUCGCUUCUUGCGAGUCUCAUUCGGUAAAGCGAAUGAUUAGAGGCAUUGGGGUCGAAACGGCCUCAACCUAUUCUCAAACUUUAAAUGGGUGAGAUCUCCGGCUUGCUUGAACUGUGAAGCCGCGAGAUAUCGGAUCAGAGUGCCAAGUGGGCCACUUUUGGUAAGCAGAACUGGCGCUGUGGGAUGAACCAAACGCUGAGUUAAAGCGCCUAAAUCGACGCUUAUGGGA